CUCGCUCAAAAAUAUCGGAAAAACGAUACAGUCGAUUCAUACAGUCCCCAGGUAUACCCCCCGUUUCCCCUUCAGGUGCCUUCGAAGAACAGCAUUCUGGCUGAGCCGAUUCCCCAUGCACUACUAUUUUUCUCGGUUCCAUUGAAUUCGUCUUCAAGUUCGAUUAAAGAAACGGCACUGUCGAGGAAUCGACAAUCGAGUUUCCGGUGGGGCGACUUGAGCGAUUUCUGUUCAACAAGCCAGCUGCAAUUUUUGUUGCCUUUGAUCUGCGGUGGAAGGAAGAGAGAUCUCCGAUUGUCUUAAACUGCUCCAGAAGCAUUUGAUUCGAAUUGUUCUCUCGAACGGUUCCGUUUGGGGAGAUGAGCGGUGACUGAAUCUGUUUAUGGCUACUGGAAUUGAAAUUCAACCGUCGACCGUCCACCGUGAGGUUUGCUUCUACAUUGAUGCCCAAUGGUAGUGUGAAGGAGCAUUGUUCCUUUUGAAGUAUGAGGAAACGCUUAGUCAGAGAAUCAAAUAGGUGGUUGCUGAAGGUUUUAUAGUAAACAAAAAGCCCUGCUGUUUUAAUAAGAAAGCAAAGCAGGCAAGUUUAUAGGGGAAAGAAAUAAUGGAGUGUAAUAAAGAUGAGGCUGCAAGGGCUAAAGAGAAAGCUGAGGAGAAAUUUACAGCAAGAGAUUUAAUGGGGGCUAAAAAAUUUGCUUUGAAGGCACAAAAUUUAUUUCCAGGACUCGAUGGUAUCUCUCAAAUGUUAGCCACGCUCGAUGUCUAUGUUUCUGCAGAAAAAAAAAUAAAUGGAGAAGUCGAUUGGUAUGCGAUACUUGGUCUGGAUCCACGAGCUGAUGAGGAAACAGUCAGGAAACACUACAGGAAGCUAGCUCUUAUUCUUCACCCUGACAAAAACAAGUCUGUAGGAGCUGAUGGGGCUUUUAAGCUUAUUUCUCAGGCCUGGAGUUUGUUGUCUGAUAAAGCCAGAAGAGUAGUAUAUGACCAGAAGAGGAAUGUUAGAGUCAACAAAACUGUUUCAACGUCACGGGGGAGUUCGUCUUCACAAGCCGGGAGAAAUGGUUUUUACAAUUUCACAAAAAGUGCUACUACUUCAAAUAUGAAGAGACAGAAAAGUGCAUCCCGACCGGAUUAUGCUUCAGCUUCAUCUCAGAAACCAAAACUAACCUUUUGGACGGUGUGCCAUCGGUGCAAGAUGCAGUAUGAGUAUCUCCGAGUCUAUCUACAUCAUAAUCUUGUUUGCCCCAACUGUCAUGAGCCAUUCUUUGCUAUUGAAACACCCCCACCCCCUUCGAACGGCGUGAAAUCUAAUGGAUGGGAUUUUACACAGCAAAGUUAUCAAACUGGCAGUAAAAAAGUUCCAUCAUCAUACAUGGGAGCUAGUGAAUCAAAUCAUUCCACACAUAGCCAAAACAACUUUCAAUGGGGUCCUUUCUCACGAACGGGUGGUGCUUCAUCAGCUGCUCAAGCUGCAACUGUAGUUCAGCAGGCAUAUGAGAAAGUGAAAAGGGAACGUGAGGAGGCACAAGCUGCGAAAAGAGAGGAACGAAGAAAGCACCCAACAUCUAAGAAGACCCCUGGUGCUUCAUCUACAGGGCACUCUGGUGCUGUAAAGAGAAGAAGAGGUAUAGAUGACAUUUCUUCUAGCUCCCAUGCAAGAGAUAUGACCAAUCAGUCAAAAACUGGCUUAGAAAGGACUAGGUUGGGCAAUCUGAAAGGUUGUACUCAGGGUAAUAUAAAUGGAAAUACCACGCUCCAGAGCUCUCAGGAUGUCUCUUUUAGUGAAUUUAAGAACUUAUUAAUCAAGAAGGCCAAGGUGGAAAUAAGGAAGAUGUUACGUGAAUUGAAUUCACGGAGUUCAACGACUGGUUCAGUCAAAGAGGGAAAUGGGAAGGAAAAGGUAACUGGGAAGACAGAAACAGCUCCAGUGAGUGGUAAUCAGGAUGAUAAAGACAUGCCCAUUGAACUUCUGAAUUCAAAGAAGGGACCACAGUCAGUGAUUGAUUUUCCUAGCAAUUCAUGUACCCGUGGUGCAGAAACACUGUCAAUAAAUGUCCCUGAUCCGGAAUUUCACAAUUUUGAUAGAGACUGUACAGAAAGCUCGUUCGGAAAUAAUCAGGUCUGGGCUGCUUAUGAUGAUGACGAUGGCAUGCCUCGACGUUAUGCCUGGAUUCAUAGUGUAGUAUCUUUGAACCCGUUUAAAUUGAAGAUUCGUUGGCUAAACUCAAUAAUUGGUGAUGACUUGGGUUCACUGAGCUGGGUAAGCCCCGGGUUUCCAAAAACGUGUGGGGAUUUUAGAACUGGGAGGCGUGAGAUUUAUAGUUCCCUUAAUUCUUUUUCACACAAGGUCAGAUGGUCAAAAGGCACAUACGGAGACAUUUGCAUACAUCCCAGAAAGGGAGAUGUUUGGACUCUUUACAGGAAUUGGUCCCCUGAUUGGAAUGAACUGACAUCAGAUGAGGUAAUACACAAGUAUGACAUAGUAGAAGUUCUUGAGGAUUAUAGCAAAGAACUAGGUGUUAUUGUUACUCCCCUCGUCAAGGUGGCUGGUUUCAGGGCUGUAUUUCAUCGUCAUUUGGACCCAAGCCAAGUAAGAAGGAUCCCUAAAGAUGAGAUAUUCCGGUUUUCUCAUCUUGUACCUUCACAUUUGCUUACUGGUCAAGAAGGGCCGAACGCUCCCAGAGGUUGCAGGGAACUGGACCCUGCAGCCACUCCAGUUGAUCUUCUUCACGUCAUAGAAAUUCCCAAGGAAGAAAUCAUAGAGAUUGAGGACUUUAAACCACAAAAUUCCACGACCGAGAUCGUAGAUGUUAGUGAUGGAAAGAUGGAGAAGAAACCGAGGGAAGCAAGAAAAGAGGAUAUGGUGAAACCUGUAGCAAUAGAAGUGGCGGAAGAUGUCCUAGAACUUAAACUGGUCAGGAAAACGGUGCAAACUAAUGAAAUGCAAGUUUCUUGAACAUGGAUUAUUUGUUCCUCGUCGUUGUGAAUGGUAAACUUUGUAGAAGAAGCUGAUUAGAAAUAGCCGCUUGUGGAAGCUCUUGCAAGCUUUGUAUAUAUUCCCUCCCGUAGCUGUUUUUCAGAGCCGUCAGCUUGUGAGGUACGAGUAAACGUAAGUAAUUACUUUCCAAGUCUCUUUUUCUUCUGCUGAAUACAUGCAUAGUUCUCUCUCAAUUCUUUAUCACCGCUCACCAGAUUGCUUUAUUUAUUUAUUUGUCUUUGGAAUCAUAUUGUUGAGCUGAUUAUGAUCUAGAUUAUAUCACUGACUGCAAGCUAUCUUACUCCCAACUUUAGAGUGGCUUUUCGCUGCUUGAUCUCGACUUUGGUUCCUGUCUUUUAAUGUAUUCAACCGCAUCGUUUUCAUUUUGAUACAUAGGAGAGAAGAAGCCCCAAGGAGAAUCAGGUUUUUUUUGGCUUUUUGGCUUUGGCUUUCGUCUAAACCCACGCUAGCCGAUAUUGUCCUUUUUAUGCUUUCACUUCCGGACUUCUCUCGAGCUUCCAUUGAAAGUUUUAAAAUGCGUUUCCUAAAGAGAGGUUUCUACGUUCUUGUAAAGAAUGAUCUUUCCCUUCUCCAACAGAUGUGGGAUCCACCCGUUCUAACGAUAUGCAUAUGUGAUUAGGAGGUGUUCCUUCACUUAGAUUUGAUUUGAAUAUUGUAUAUUAUUUGCUUUUGACACAGGUGGCGGUGGAUCAUGUUGGAUAUAUGUACUGGGUUUACUCAACUCAUGAAUUCAAAGUUCAUUAGAAUUAUUUGAAUCCAUGAGAAACUACCAUUUUUUCAACCCUGGAAUGUAUGCAUAGAUAGGCUUAUUUCAUAUUGGUCAUGUUCGUAAAAUUCAAUUUAUUAAACUCUAGGG
RNA transcript from Cucurbita maxima (winter squash), 3854 nucleotides. RefSeq lists it as uncharacterized. Lineage: Eukaryota; Viridiplantae; Streptophyta; Magnoliopsida; Cucurbitales; Cucurbitaceae. The transcript has 3 exons. The record is from RefSeq and is a predicted model, not a curated record.